This is a long non-coding RNA of Lactuca sativa (garden lettuce), 2111 nucleotides long. RefSeq lists it as uncharacterized. Lineage: Eukaryota; Viridiplantae; Streptophyta; Magnoliopsida; Asterales; Asteraceae. The record is from RefSeq and is a predicted model, not a curated record.
GUUAGAAGGUUUACAGGAACGAUAAAGAAAAUCAAAGCUAUCGUAAUUCUCUAUCUUGUAUUCUAGAUCGUUAACCUAAUUAUGCAUGCAAGCAUAUACUUAUAUAAUAAACCUAACAGGCUCUCGGUUGGACAGGCCCAAACCGAAGUACAAAAUAAUUGGACUAAUAGCCGAGCCCAAUAACACAAUAUUAAACAGAUCUUCAACCCAACAAGAAGCGAAGUGGCUCAACAACGUUGGUCGGAGAGUGCACCAGCGUCAUCGUCUCUUAACCCAUUUGACUUUCUUCCUUAUCAGUUUGGGUUUGGCUCCGCCGCUUCACCUUCGAUCGUAUUAUAUGUCUAUCAUCUCACCCUCUCUAUCAAUCAAAGGUUAUUCGCUACAAGCAGAUGACGUUCUUCUCUUGAUUAUCUCUCAUCAAAGGUCAUAUGUGUUUCUUCAGGUGUAAUGGUUCAACAGUUGUAAAAUACAAGGAAGAAACAUAUGUUCGACUUCAUGGGAAACUGAAAGGCUUUUGCCUCCGUUGGAUAGCGUUAACGGCAGUCCUGCCACCGAUGGUGCUUUUGUCCAGGCUCGAAGGGCAUUUUGGUCACUGAAAGGCAUUAUAAGGCUUCAGCAGAAGGACCAUGCUCACUUGCUUUAAACAUCCCUGAAAAAGCUUUUAACAAAUGCAUUUGGUGUUAAGGUCAUUACAUCGAGAUUUCAGGAGUCGAUCCAACUCUACUUGGUUAAAACAUCCCGAACUACUGUAAAGUUCCAAUUCGUUCCAAAUGGUAAUGUAGAAGCUCCAUGAUGUUCUUCGAUUCCUCUAAUAGGAUUGAAGAAAAUUUCUUUGAAGACACUAAUAACACUUCUUUUUCCUCUAAGCCAAAAGAGUAACAUACCUUUAAAAGUUAUUUUACGUUCAAAAUUUUAAGGGGGAGAAGCCUUUGAUCGAAUUCGAUUGUAAUAUACCAAACUUUCAAUUUUUUAUUUGAAAUCUGAGAAUUUUAAGACUAAAAUGUUUUAUUUUUUAAAUCUUACAACUUACCAGAAGUAAUAUAUGAAAUAUUGGAGGACCGAUCUAGCGAAGAUGAGAUAGUAGGAAGGCCUGAUAUUCGUCGGACUUUGGAAGAUUUGGUUAAUAGCAUGAAAGGUAGCAAAAGACUCGAUGGAAAGACAUUUGUGAUCAACCUUAAGUCCAUGGUAUUAUAUCAUUCCCAUUUUCUCUACCAACACUUUCAAAGUAUAUUGUUCUGCAUUAACAUAGUGAUUUGACUAAUUUUUAGAGAUUAAUCUUAUUUUCUAGUUUUUCGAGUCUGAUUCUAAUCAGCCUCCACCUACAAAUCAUCGUGGUGUAAGUUUGUAAAAGCUUUAUUUUUUCUAUUUUUUCGAUUUCAACAAACAUGGAAACAAAAGUUUUUCAUUUAUCAUAUUUGGAAAGCGUAACAUGCAUAUAUUACUAUUAUGAUAAUAAUAAUUAUCAUUUUUUAUAUGCUGGUAAGUGGAUCGAUCUUUGAGAAGCAUACAAAACCUCCAUCACACCUUUUCGCUUCUUACAAAUAUGAAGGAACGAUUCUAUGACAAAAUGGAAAUCAAACUUCAAGGUUCAUGGUUCUGGGCAGACAUGGAUACAAUUUUGUCAAACUAAUUUCUAAAUUUUCUAUUAUAUGUGUGUUUCUGUUUAUUACAAACUACAUUUUUUUUUUUUUUUUUUUUUUUUUUUUUUUUUUUUUUUUGUGAUAAUUAGUUUGCAUUCAUAUUGGUUUUUAUAUUGGUUUGUCAAAUUUCAUAACUCAUUUUAUAUGUUAGAGAUUUUCUACAAUAGAAAGAAUGUUAUAAAGAUGGUUCUGUUGUCCUUAUUGGACUUGAUAUUUGACAAUCUAGAAACAUAUAUUGAAAAUCUUUGGUAUUAAAGUAGGGCUGACAAUUCUCGACACGACACGCGACACGACACGAAAUAAAUGGGUUUGGGUUGAGUUUUUCAACCCGACAACCCGUCAACCCGUUUAUUAAACGGGUCAUAUAUGGGUUUCUCAAAAAAUAAACGGGUUGACCCGCCAACCCGUUUAUAUUCUUAAUAAAAAAAAAUUAUUAUAUUUUUAAAUGUAUUUAUGUAUCAAGUAUUAAUA